Molecule: ribosomal RNA, 468 nt
Filed under: uncultured bacterium
Lineage: Bacteria
Description: partial 16S ribosomal RNA
Rfam family: Bacterial small subunit ribosomal RNA
Source: RNAcentral
GACGAACGCUGGCGGCGUGCUUAACACAUGCAAGUCGAACGGAAAGGCCCUGCUUUUGUGGGGUGCUCGAGUGGCGAACGGGUGAGUAACACGUGAGUAACCUGCCCUUGACUUUGGGAUAACUUCAGGAAACUGGGGCUAAUACCGGAUAGGAGCUCCUGCUGCAUGGUGGGGGUUGGAAAGUUUCGGCGGUUGGGGAUGGACUCGCGGCUUAUCAGCUUGUUGGUGGGGUAGUGGCUUACCAAGGCUUUGACGGGUAGCCGGCCUGAGAGGGUGACCGGCCACAUGGGGACUGAGAUACGGACCAGACGCCUACGGGAGGCAGCAGGGGGGAGUAUUGCAGAAUGGGCGGAAGCCUGAGGCAGAAACGCCGCGUGCGGGAUGACGGCCUUCGGGUUGUAAACAGAUUUCGCCUGUGACGAAGCGUGAGUGACGGUAAUGGGUAAAGAAGCACCGGCUAACUACGUG